UACGGAGGAUGCAAGCGUUAUCCGGAAUCAUUGGGCGUAAAGAGCGUGUAGGCGGUCCGGUAAGUCCGCUGUGAAAGUCGGGGGCUCAACCCUCGAAUGCCGGUGGAUACUGUCGGGCUAGAGUGCGGAAGAGGCGAGUGGAAUUCCUGGUGUAGCGGUGAAAUGCGCAGAUAUCAGGAGGAACACCUAUUGCGAAGGCAGCUCGCUGGGACGUAACUGACGCUGAGACGCGAAAGCGUGGGGAGCAAACAGG
This 253-nucleotide ribosomal RNA is filed under the name uncultured bacterium. RNAcentral describes it as "partial 16S ribosomal RNA". It matches the Rfam family "Bacterial small subunit ribosomal RNA", at positions 524 to 776 of the family's 1533-position model. The record is from RNAcentral.